AGUAUCAAAAGCUACACUGAUUAUUUCCCUAAAAAAUAGACAAUAAAAUAAUGCCUACUAAAUUAUAGGAGAAAGAUGUAAGGGGAGGGGGAUAAAUCAGCAUUGGUCUUCAAGGAACUUAUUUGCUGAGAAAAUUACAUUAAAAUGUGAAAAGACAACUCAAUAUAUCAGUAAAUGAUUUGAAUCAAAGAAAUACUUGAGAAAAUAGAUUUUUCUUUCUCUGUUUAGAUCAGAGGGAGAAGAGAACCUGAAGCUCUGGGUUGAAAGGUAUUUUUAAGGUUAAUUUGUCCAGUCAAAGCAACCCUUAAGUGCCAGUCAGGUAUUUUGGGUGAAGGCCUUUCAAGUCAGAUGUCUUGGGUGAAGGGGAACUCACCACUUAUCUCCAUUAAGUCAGGGAUUUUAUUUACAGAAUGUUUAUCACAGAGUAAAGUUCAUUGUGUGAAUGAAUGAAUAAUUUCCAAAGCAGUUCAUUUCAUCUUUGUACACUUUAUUACUUUUUUUCUUGUAUUACACAAAAUUGGUUUUCCUGAAACUUCCAACCAGUCUUAGUUCUGUCAUUUGCAGCCAAACAGAACAAAUCUGUUGUAUCCAUCAGGAUAGGCUAUAUUCUGCUGAAUAACAAACAAUUCCAAUUUUUAGUGGCCUAAUAUAGCAAAAAUUGUUUUCUUAACUGUGCCAUGAAUCCAUUGCAGGUCAGCGGGUCUGUUCCCUGUCUUUCAUUCUAGAUUCCUGGCUAGUGGAAGAGUCACUAUUUUGAAUAUUUCAUCUUGCUGUGGAAAAAUAAAGAUCACUGUGGAUGGUUUCAUGCUGACAUUUAAAUGUUAUGGCCCAGAAAUGACACACAUCCUUUGGGCUCACAACUAGAACUGGUUGUGUCGCUCUAAAGAAUCAUCACAAGGAGAUCAGAUAGUGCAGCCUCCCUUGUGCCCAAGGUUAGAGAGCUGACUACUGUACUGGUAGUAACUCUUGUCCGUAUGAUACCCUGCCAGCUAAACUAUCCCUUCUUGCCACUCUAUGGCCCAAAUCUUAAAUGCCGAAACGAUAUGACUUCUUUCACCAUCUGCUCUCUCUUUGCAGCUCUACAACAAUCCCCCCUCCAAAGUGUAGCACGCCUUCACUUUUAAGUAUACUCUUUUAUAUUUACUAAUAUUAUAUCGAUUUUAUUUUCUCAAGGCUUGUUUUCCUGGCAAGGGUAUAAUAAACAGGAACUUUAACAACUAAUAUCUGAAAACAGCAUGAUAAUUACCAAAAUUUGAAAUGUGGUCUUGAGUAGUUACUUCUCUUAUUGUAAAGAUAAAUGCAUUAUGUAAUCUUGUAACACAAAUUUUAAAAAUUCAUUCAUUCAUUCAUUUAUCCUACUUGUUCAUUCAAUAAAUAUUCAUUGCAUACCUAGUAGAUGCCAGGCACUCUAUUAAGGACUGAGGAUAUGGAGAUGAUUAAGAGUUUUUCUCUUCAUGAAACAUAUUUUCCAAUUGGGCAAACAGACAUAAAAAGUCAUUACAAUGCUAAUAGAGGCAGAAAGUAUUAUGGGAACACUUAGGAAGAAGCAAAUAGCUAGCUGGCAGGACUUAGGAAAGUUCCAUAGAAGAACUGACACUAGAACUAAGUCUUGAGGAUAAGUAAGACUGCUUUAGGUAGAAAUGGAAGAUGGAGGAAGGAUAUUUUUAAGCAUGGAGACCAGCAUGGACAAAGGCACUGAGGAUGGCAAAGCUUAUUUAUGGAACUCUAAGGAAUCCAGUGAGACUGGAAGACAUGGGGUCUUUGUAAAGGCUGAUAAUUGUGAAGGACCCUGCAGACACUCUCUGGAGUUCGGAUGUUUUCCCGUUCUUCUGGGAUUGCAGACUCUCAUGGCCACCUUGGACCAGGCAUGGAUGUAUGUGGCCAAACAGAGCAAGUAAAGACUGUAAGCCAUGGUGAGAACUAUGGCAAUCUGAAGAAUAUAUUCUCUGUCUAAAUGGGAUAGUAAAUGCCAGUGAUAUCAAAUGUCAGAUCUCCAAUUUCAAGAGAAAGGCUAAAAAUUCAGAUUUAUAUGAAAAAUUGAAUAUUAAAUGUGGACGACUUACCCAUGUUUUAAAGUAUGCCUCUAGUCCUUAAGCUGAUUUUGGCCUGCAGACAUGUUUGGUAUAGCUUAUGUAUGUACAUUUUUAGUGAAGGCCAAAAUAUUUAUUAAUACCCAUCAGAGUAUGGUAGGCCCCCUUUCCACGAAGGAUAUGUUCUAAGACUCCCAAUGUAUGCCCUGUAUAUACUGCUUUUUCCUGCACAUACACACCUAUGGUAAGGUUUAAUUUGUAAAUUAGGCACAGUAAGAUUAAUAUCAAUAAGUAAUAAGAAAAUUGAACAAUUAUACUAAAAUAAAAGUUAUGUGAAUGUGGUCUGUCUCUCUCUCAAAAUAUCUUAUUGUACUGUACUCACCUAUUUUCAGAUCAUGGUUGACCUCAGGUAACUAAAACCCUGGAAAGCAAAACUGUAGAUCUGGGACGAAUACUGUAUAUUUUAACUCAGUCUACCCAUUCCCCACAUGCCAAAGGCUGUCUUGAAGUAUUUAAUUUUUGUUAUUGUUUUAAAAAUGGAGUCCACUAAUUCCUUAUUCUUCUAGCUCCUCUCUUGCUUUGACGCUACUCUUGCUUGCCACUCAACAGUCAGAAAUAUGCAACAACAUCCCACACUCUCCUAUAAACUUUAAAAUGUUGGAAACACUAGGUAUCUUCUCAUAAGGCAUGCGGGCCAUUUACUUGUAGGUUUGGUCCCAUGGGUACAUCCAUAUUCUUAAAGUCAUUCAAUUCACUGGACCAUCAAGUCUUUAAAUUCUUAACAACUUGGCUUGACAGGCUGUAAAUUUUUAUUCAACUUUCUUGACUAAAAGAAAAUCAACUUUCUUGACUUUUAUUGUAUAAUUUAUAUACAGUAAAACUCAUCCAUUUUAUGUGUUACAUGAGUUUUGAAUAUGAAGGGGCAACGCGAGCAAAUUAUAUUUUAAGUAAACUUCAGAGUAAAUAAUGUACGUAAAGCAGCCUUAAGUGUUUAACUACCUAGAUUCUAAUCCUGGUUCAGCUAGUUACUAUUGCAUGGCCUUGAGCAAGUCUCCUAAUUUCUUUCUGCCUCAAUUUCCUCAUCUAUGUGACAGGGAUACUAAUAGUACCCACCUCUUGGAAGUAGUGAAUGCACAGUGCUUCAACAUGGAGUAAAUAAAGACUAACAGUUGUUUCUAUUGUUAUUAAUAUUGUUGUCAUUAUUAUUCUAGUAGAAAAGAACUCCUGGGAUAUCAACGAGAAGAAAAAAAUGAAUUUACUGGGAUAUAAGUGGGGCAUAAGAUGUUGCAGGCCUCCGUUCUUGCAGGAGUUGAGCUGCAGAACCCUCCUGUGAAUCCUCUUAGGCAUGUUAUGUUAUGACAUACUGUCACUCGCUCCUUAAGGUGGAUUUACCAUCUAAGUCUCAAGCCAGCAUUUCACAACCAGUGAGAAAUGGUCACCAGAAGAACUAGAAGAGUAUGGCAAUAGUGAAAUUCCUUUUCCCUCUUCAAAAAACAGAUCAAAGGAUUCAACCAGCAAGUAGUAAAUCAAUGAAAAGCAAUAAUGAGGUGAGAAACAAUGUUACUGAAAGGUGAUCUCAAGAGUAUUGUUAUAUAUAUGAUUUACUUUCUUAUGUAGGCAGCUACUGGACAGUUUCUUAUUGUCAUAGUAUAAUUUGAUGCAAUUUCAUGUGCUCCUUUUGCCACAUGAGGUUAAAUGGAAUUGGAUGAGGUCCCCUCUAACAUGCCUUCAGUGUCUAAAAUUGGCAAAUUUCUAAGCAGUUCUGGGCUUUAGUACCUCCACUUAAAAACUGGAAUAAUAGGAUUUAUCUAUGAUUUAUCUGUUAGGUUAUGAGGGCAAAAAUGUCGUAACAUAAAACAACUGGCAUCCCACAGGCACUUAAUUAAUGCUAGUCCUCCCCGUCCCUAUUUAUGAAGAUAGAAAGAAAAGAGUUAACAGACAACUCCACUUUUAUUUUCAAAUAUUUAGGUUAGU
Molecule: non-coding RNA, 4004 nt
Organism: Microcebus murinus (gray mouse lemur)
Lineage: Eukaryota; Metazoa; Chordata; Mammalia; Primates; Cheirogaleidae
Source: RefSeq, a predicted model, not a curated record